AGAGUUUGAUCCUGGCUCAGAUUGAACGCUGGCGGCAGGCCUAACACAUGCAAGUCGAGCGGAUGAUGGGAGCUUGCUCCCGGGAUUCAGCGGCGGACGGGUGAGUAAUGCCUAGGAAUCUGCCUGGUAGUGGGGGACAACGUUUCGAAAGGAACGCUAAUACCGCAUACGUCCUACGGGAGAAAGCAGGGGACCUUCGGGCCUUGCGCUAUCAGAUGAGCCUAGGUCGGAUUAGCUAGUUGGUGGGGUAAAGGCCUACCAAGGCGACGAUCCGUAACUGGUCUGAGAGGAUGAUCAGUCACACUGGAACUGAGACACGGUCCAGACUCCUACGGGAGGCAGCAGUGGGGAAUAUUGGACAAUGGGCGAAAGCCUGAUCCAGCCAUGCCGCAUGUGUGAAGAAGGUCUUCGGAUUGUAAAGCACUUUAAGUUGGGAGGAAGGGCAGUAAGUUAAUACCUUGCUGUUUUGACGUUACCAACAGAAUAAGCACCGGCUAACUUCGUGCCAGCAGCCGCGGUAAUACGAAGGGUGCAAGCGUUAAUCGGAAUUACUGGGCGUAAAGCGCGCGUAGGUGGUUUGGUAAGAUGGAU
This 591-nucleotide ribosomal RNA is filed under the name uncultured bacterium. RNAcentral describes it as "bacterial SSU rRNA". It matches the Rfam family "Bacterial small subunit ribosomal RNA", at positions 8 to 593 of the family's 1533-position model. The record is from RNAcentral.